This 448-nucleotide unclassified non-coding RNA is filed under the name Hevea brasiliensis (rubber tree). The record is from RNAcentral. Lineage: Eukaryota; Viridiplantae; Streptophyta; Magnoliopsida; Malpighiales; Euphorbiaceae.
GGAAGUGUAACCACAGCUGUAAACGUAGGUCCUAACAUUAAAGCUACUGCAGUCUCACAGAUGGAGGCAGCAAUUGAUGCAUUAUCACGAGAAUUGACCAAGCUGCGAACUGGAAGAGCAUCGGCUGGAAUGCUUGAUCAUAUCAUCGUUGAUUCAGGAGGUGUUAAGACACCUCUUUGCAGGAUGGCUGUCAUUUCAGUGCUAGACCCAAAAACCUUGUCAGUGAAUCCUUAUGAUCCAGAUUCCCUCAAAGAGUUGGAGAAAGCCAUUAUUUCAUCUCCAUUGGGGUUAAAUCCUCAAUCCGACAACCAGAGAUUAAUUGUACCAAUACCUCCGUUGACUAAGGAGCAUGUGCAGGCUGUGUGCAAAGUGGUUGCGAAAUCAUCUGAAGACGUUAAGCAAAGUAUAAGACGAGCACGCCAGAAGGCUUUGGACACGAUAAAGAAAU